UGAAAUCGGAAUUGGGUUUGGCUGUAG
RNAcentral lists this unclassified non-coding RNA (27 nucleotides) under Dictyostelium discoideum. Lineage: Eukaryota; Evosea; Eumycetozoa; Dictyosteliales; Dictyosteliaceae. The record is from RNAcentral.